RNAcentral lists this non-coding RNA (738 nucleotides) under Nanatka castenea. The record is from RNAcentral. Lineage: Eukaryota; Metazoa; Arthropoda; Insecta; Hemiptera; Cicadellidae.
AUAAGUUUGAUUCUGUCUUUUUUAUUAAUUAAUUUUAAAUUAAUUAUAUGUUUAUAUAUAAAAUAUUAUUUUUACAGUAAUUUAUUUUAUUUUUAUUUUUAUUUUUAUCUAGAAAUUUAAUAAAUAGUAGAUUAAUUUUGUGCCAGCAUUCGCGGUUAUACAAUUUACUUAAAUUAAUAUUUUUGAUUAAUUUUAUUAAGUUUAUUUAUUUGAAUAAUAAAUUAAUUUUAUUUAAGUGGAAUUUAUAUUUUUAUUUAAUUUCUUUAUUAAUUUAUAUUAAGUCUCAUUUUUAAACUAGGAUUAGAUACCCUAUUAUUUUAGGUUAAAAUUUAUAUUUCUGAAUAUUAAUAGUUAAGUUCUAUAAAACUCAAAGAAUUUGGCGGUAAUUUUUCUUUUCAGAGGAACCUGUUUUUUAAUUGAUAAACCACAAUAAUUUUUACCUUUUAUUUUAUUUGUAUAUCGCUAUAUUAUAGAGUGUUUUAUAAAGAAAUUUUCUUUUUUUAUUAAAUUUUAUAUUAGGUCAAGGUGCAGUUUUUAUUAGGUUUACAUGGGUUACAUUAUUUAUAUUUUUAUUGAAUAAUAAGUUUAUAAUUUAUUUGAAAUAGGAUUUGUUAGUAAUUUAAAUAUAUUAAUUUUUUUGAAUUUAGCUCUAAAUUAUGUACAUAUCGCCCGUCACUCUCAAUAAAAUGAGAUAAGUCGUAACAAAGUAGUUGUACCGGAAGGUGUAUCUAGAAUGUU